AGUCAACAGUCUCAUUGGAUCCGUAGCUAAUUUCAUAGCAAAAUAUGUGCCUACUUUAGUCAUUCAAAUUUCUAAGUCACUAGCAUCAAUAUGCCACCAAAUAUGUGUAAAAUAACCAGAACACAAUUGCCAAAGGAUUUACCUCUUCUGUCUAUACAAACGACAGAAAAUCACUGGAUAGGAUGUCCUUCAAGAUUGUGCCACGAGGCGAUUUUACUGGCUUGCCAACUUUCCAAACCGGGCAAGACCUCCUUUUGAGGUGGAUCGUUUGCAGGUAUCAUUUUUGCGGCACUAUUGCCCAGUGAAAACAAGUAGCCAUUGGCCUUUGAACCCACAUCCUGUACUUGUUUGUUAUGUUUCCCAUUGACCUUAGGGACCCAAAUACUUCCAUUUUUUGCCGUCAAGGCAUCUUCAGAACUUCUUCCUGGGGUUGAAAAAUCCACAAUGUUCCUCAGGAUCUUCUCCCAUAGAGAUCUGUUCUGUCUGGAACUAUACGAAAGGUCUUCCAUUUCACUAUCCUCUUCAGUAUAAGCAAUGAAGUCGUUUAUCCGUUGUUAUUUCCACAGCAGAUGGUGCAGCUUGCUCCCUCAAGAACUAAUUAUUAGUAAUUUAGACAGUCAGAGACUCAAUGAUUAAAGAAUAAAAUAUAUAUAUAUAUAUAUAUAUAUAUAAUUCACAGUUUCAUACUCCAUGUAAUUCAACCCAUGUUAAUGAUUUUGCGCCUGGCACUACGUGUUUUAGCAAGUUGCAACCACUGUUUAUGCCUUUAAAAAGCUGAUUUGCUUGAGAGUGCCUGGAACAAGAGGCAAAGAUGUACAUUACAAAGGAACCAGGGCUAUUCCUUGUGCACAAAUAGUAAAUAUCUCUUCAAUAUUAGGUCUAAUGACCUAUAACGCUACUCCGAAUUCGGUGUUUCUAACUGCUAGUUUCGAAUUUUUGAAAGAAAAGAAACACAAAUAUAGAUACACAUAUAUUUAUCUAUUUAUCAUCGAGCAUAUGAAAUACGAGUUGUCCCACAAUUUAAAUAUUAUCAUAGAAGCAUGUUCUACUAUAAGCUGAGUAAAAUGGACAUUGAACCACGGUCAAUAAAUACCAACGUUAUAGGUGAUAAUCUCCUCAACUUCUGCAUUGGCAAGCACAUGCGUGGGGGAAACAAGAUUACCAUUGACCUGCAACGAGAAAGUCAAGCAUUAAAUUGGUGGCAUUUGUUGUAGGCUGACACUAGAAUUGGAAAUUAGCAACAUGCAAUACAAAAGUACCUUCGCCGCCACCAUUUUGUUUCCAAUGUCGGUGUGUAUCAUGUAGGCAUAAUCAAUAGCAGUAGCCCCUCUAGGCAAAUUUUUAAUCUUCCCAUCGCAAGAAAUAUUUAUCCGAGCAGUAGUUCCCACAAAAUUAUGGUAAUAUUUUAGCAGAAAUAAAAUCCCAAAGUAUGGUUUACGAAUUAUCAUACCUCUCCCCGUGGGGUAAAGACGAAGAUACGACUGCAUAAGAGAUCUCUGGUACAAAUUCUCUAGAGCUCAUGUUGCCAACCAACUCCUCUUGCCAUUCUCUAAUUGCAUUGAGCCAACCAAGCUGGAGAAAAGAAAAAGCUUCAUCCAUAAAAUUAGCAUUCCUGUCAGGGGCUUUAAAAGGUCUGAAGGAAUUCCUUUAAAGACUACUCUUAAUGACAACUUGUCAAGGAAACUAGGUAUACCCUGAGUGCCAUGUUUGCAUUGUUAAGGCAAACUAGUUUCCCCCUUCAAUUUCUACCAUUUGGCACAGCAUGCCCAACUAGAAAUUGUUUUUAAAACAAUUUAAGAAGGAUAUUUUCAGAUUAUCAAAAUCACCUUCUUCCAUAUAUUAUGGAUUAUCUUAAAUCUACAUAUGAUUCAAGUUAUGAAAUAUACAAUAUACUAGUACAAUCCAACCUUAUUUUUUUAUGAUAUACUAAGUUAAUCUUGUUAAUUUGAAAAGUCUUUUUUUUAGAACAAUAAAUGUCUUAUCAACCAUAUUUUAAAAUAGUGUUGGAUCCUAAGAGAAAUGUUCUUUUUUGGGGGUUGAGGGGUGAGGGAGCUAGUAAAAUUUUUAAAAAUCUUAAGAGUUUAAUGAGAUUCUUUUAAAAAAAUUUGAAGGUCUAAUUAAAAUUUGUGAGACUAAUGAGAAUUUUUAAAAUUUUGAGAUGGGAUAAUUAAUUUUUUUUUAAAUUUCAAGAAAAAAAUAAAAAUUCCCCAAAUUAUUUUUGGGGGAAUGCCCUUAUAACGGGCCCCUGUUUUGAUGCCUUAAAUGUUUCAAAUUGGAGAAGUUCGCAAGCUGCCUAUAAUGCUUAUGUCUAACACAAUUCUCUCAAAUAGUAAUCGUACCUCAUGAUAUGUUGCAAGAAAACAUUUUGUAUUUACAAAGUUAGCAUUUAUAUUAUAAUAUUCUAGUUUAUAGUUCAAAUUUUUUAAUUGUAAAAAAUUUAUAUAAAUUUAAUUUGAAGAAACACUUGUGCCAUGUUAUGUCCCUUUUUUAUAAUACAUAAAUUGAGUAAAAAGUAAUAUAAAUUUUAUAAAAUAUAACCUUUUUAAAAAUUGUUUUAAAAUUUGUCUAAUAAAUUUCUUAACAUUUCUUAUAAAUAAUAUUUUUUUCCGUAACUUUAGAAAGUUAAUUUUUAUAAAUAACCUUUUUAUGAAUACAUAUAUUGUUUUUACAAUAUAUAGUAUGAAAAAAUAAAUUAUAAGUUAUGUACAUAUUUCUUGGACAUAUUUUUUAUAAAUUAAUAUAUUAUAAUACGUCUAUAAUAUGUAAAUUUUUUUUAUAAUAAAAUUUUUCACCAUAACUUAGAAAUUUUAUAGGAUUUAAUAAUAUAAUUUUUUGUUAUAACUUUUUAAAAUACAAAAAUCAUUUUAUAAUAUAUAUUUUUUAGGACUUAUAAUAUAAUAAUUUUUUUUCAUAAUCAUCUCAAAUACUCAUACGUGUUUAUGCUUGGCUUAAAGAUGUAAAAAACCCUUAAACUUUUUUAGAAAAAACAAUUAAGCCAUCGUCUUUUUUUUUUGGCACUCAAUUGGAUACUUGAAUUACCAAAAUGCAUUAAAAAAACCCUUUAACAGUUGAUUGUUAAAAUUAGCUGCUUUAAUUUUUUUUUCAAUUAAAGUCAUCACGUAUGACAACCACGACAUGACAUGUGUAAAAAAUAAAUAAAAGUUAUUAAAUUUUAAUAAAAAUAUUUAAAUUUUAUUAAAAAUUAGAAAAAAAUUAUAAAAAUCAUAAAAAAUGUAAUUUUUUUAUAAAAUAUAGAAAUUAUUUUUAUAAAAUUUUAUGAAGUCGUAAGAAAAUUAUAAAAAAUGUAAAGAAAUAUAAAAUUCACAAAAAAAUUAUAAAAAUUAUUAUGUCUCCAAUACUCUCAAGUCUAUCAUAAUCAACCCAAUGUUUUCUUGGUUUUAUUUACCUUUCUCCUCCUACUUACCUUCAAUAUUUUCUUGCUGGCUUUGUUUAUCAAACCAAUUUUUAUCCAAACUUUGAAAAUAUUAAAAAAAGUGGGCGUCCUUGCAGCUAUUGUUGCAUUUUGUCACGUCAUAGCAUGCACCUUUUUUCUAUAAUUUUUUUGUACACUUUUAACAUUUUCCUAUAACUUUUAUUGAUUUUUAUUUUUUAUUAUUUUUCGUCACAUGUCACUCUGUGUUGCAACACGUGAUGACUUUAACUAAAAAAAAUGGGGGUCAUUAACUUUAAUGGUCAACGAUUAAAGUUAACGGUUAAAAAGUCUUUUUGAUGUAUUUUAUUUUUUUACAAUUUUUAUAAAAUUUUACAAUUUUUUAUAAUUUUUGUACGAUUUUUUAUUUUUACUAAUUUUAUUUAAUUAAUAAUUUUAUUGAUUUUAUUUUUUAUAAUUUUUUUGUCACAUAUCAUGCCAAAAAAAGUAAGGGUCGUUAACUUUAACUGUCAAUUUUGCUUUAGUGUUUUUUUUUCUCCAUGAAUUUCUAAACUGUCUUUUUCUAAUCAAAGGGAUUUCGGAGUAUAACUCUAAAAGUUUGUAUGAUUUAAUUGCUCUGCAUCUAUUCUUUGUUCUUUAGCAUUUGCAUGUGUUCUAUUUUAAUUACAAACAUUCAAAUUUGUUGAAUAUUGGUACCGUAUUCAAUUUCUUAGAACCUAGUGACAAAUAACAUGAUUGUGUAUAUGCUGCAUAUGCAAUACAUGUUAUGUGGAUAUUUGAUUUAAUCUAAAUGAGCCCCACUGGUGUGUGUUUGCUGGUUAGAAUUAGGGUUCUUUCAUUCUUAAUACUACUGGUAAGCUGAACCCUAAGUGUUAAAUUAUGGGGUUGUUUAUUGAUAAGGAGAAUAAUUUCAACGAGCUUUCCUCUUGAUUAUCGAAAGGUAUUGAGAGAUUGGUUGCUAGGUGUGACAUUGGUAACUAUAACUAAUUUAUUAACAACACCGAAAUUAUAUUUUAUUGCUGUAAAUUUUUGUUUUCAAAAAACGGUUUCGACAUAUAUAUUAUCGCUUUUACAAUUAUAUAAAAAAAUUAUAUUAAUAUAUAAAUUAAAAUUUUAUCCCUUCAAUAUAUAAAGUAAAAUAUAUGUACCAAAAUACUAGUAUUUCAAUUUCAAUUUUUUUUUCUGUGUAACCAAAUUUUUUAGUAUUAAAUUAAAGAUGAUAUUUUAAUUAAUAAAUACAAUUAACUUUUACAUAGCACAAAAAAGAAACUAGUUAAUAUAUAUAGCUUUGUAGGUGUGGAAUUUAUUAUUGUUACCUUCUAUAAUAGUUGCAUCUAUAAAGUACAUAGUAUGCUUUUUAUCAAAUUAAUUCUCUAUAAUAAUGUGUUGUCUCACAUUUUAACACAACUAAUUCUAUUUUUAAGUGAAAAAUAAAUAAAUUUUACUUAAGAUAUUAUUUCAAUAAAAUGUUUAAAUUUUAUAUAAAAUAUAUUAAUCAAAAAUGGUUUUUAAUAAAUGGAGUUACAUUAGUAAAUUUUAUUAAAGAUACAAUUUGAAUCUCGGAAAUUAAUAUUUUUAUUAAUAUAUUAUAGUUUUUAAUUUAAAUUCUUUUAAAAAAAUUAAAUAUAAUUUAAAUAUUAAAUGUUGUUAUAAGUGUAUAACAAUAACUUAUCUAUAACAUCCAAUAUUUUGACAGAAAAAUGGAGUAAUUAUAUAAAAGUUGAAUAUAACUUAAUUUUUGUGAUGAUUACUUUAUUGGACUGAAAAAAAUAUAUUGUAUCGAUUUGGAUAGUAUUGAAUAAUCUGACAAAGCUAAAGGAGUUGGAUUUGAGUUACAAUAAAAUUGAUAUGUUUUACUUUAUCAUAUACAUACCAAUAUCUCAUUUAAUAUUCCAUUAGAAAUAAAUUUGCUUAUCCAAAUGCUUUGUAGAUGGUGAGAGGCCACGUAAUUUGACCAAUUUAGAAGAGCUUAAUUUGCAUUCCAACUCCUUCACAAGCAGUUUAUUGGCACAGCUUAGUGGGUUUUCCAAUCUAAAGUCAUUGAGGAUAGGGAAUAACUAGCUUAAAGGAUCAAUAAAUAUUAAAGGUGAAAUUACUUAAUAUAUUGUAUCUUCCUUUAAACGAAACAAAUUAAUUGUUGAGUUAUUACAUUUAUUCUUUGUGAUUUAAUUUUAAAUUUUAUUUGUCGAUCUUCACAGAAUUAUUAGAUUCUUUGAGCAACUUAGAGGAGCUAGACAUAAUCGGAAAAAAGGUGAAGGAAUUUGUGCCCAUAAAGAAUAAAGGUAUAUGUAUCAACUAAGGAAAGAUAUCUAGUGAACUGAUGCCAACCACUAAUUUGACUAUCAGAAAAUGGAAGUUUGGGAAGGCUAAAGAUAGCUACAUUCGACUAUGUGUUCACCGGUGGAACUACUUCUCUAAUACAACUUUUAGAGACAUUCUCAUCUGUUAAGACCUUAUAUUUGAGAGGCAAUUACUUCAAUGACACAUUUUCUACUCAAGGUAUAAUAUGUAUGUAUGUGAAUAUAUAAUUUUAUAAUUUGAUUCCAUUUAAAAAUAUUAUUUACUUAACAUCAGUCAUUUAAAUAACUCUUAUACACUUGUAAAGAUCAAUUGCAUGUGUCGAGCAAAAUAGAGGAAUUAGUGUUGGAUUCGUCAUCUCUUAACAACAACAUUCUUCAAAGCAUUGGUGUAUUGGCUUCUCUUAAAAUUUUGUCUUUGAGUGGUUGUGAGCUGUCUGGGACAUUACCUACGCAAGGUAAAUUAAUAAUUAUGACAUAAUUAUUUAGACAAUCUCUUGAUUAAUUUUUUUUUAUCCUCCUAGAAUAUUUAAAUAAUUUGUACAAAUGUAUUUUACAAGAUGGUGCGAUUUACGGAAAUUUGAGGUGUUGGAUCUUAGUGAAAAUGCUCUUGAAGGAACACUCCCUUCAUGUUUGGCUAACUUGUCAUCACUUCAUUAUUUGGAUAUUUCCAGUAAUCAAUUCGUCGAGAAAGGUGCCUCCACUGCUUUAGCCAAUCUCACUUUGCUUAGAUUCAUUUUUCUUUCAUGAAACCUAUUCGAAGUUCCAUCCACUUUCAUAUCAUUUGCCAACCACUCACACCUCAAAGUCCUCUACGGCAGUAAAAACAAGUUAGUCAAAGAGCCUACCAUUCCAACAUGGGUCCCAAAGUUCCAACUAAAAGCCUUCCAUUUGUCGAAUUGCAAAACAAAGGAACUCCACACUGAAAUUCCAAAAUUCCUCUAUUACCAAAAUGACCUGAGUGUGGUUGAUCUUUCAUAUAAUAACUUUGGAGGGAAGAUUCCUUUUUGGUUGUUAGAGAACAAUACAAGAAUGGAAGCAUUUUUAAUGAAGGGUAACUCUUUUAUGGCCCAUCUCAUCUCAGUCCAAACACGUCAGUUGUUGGUAUAUCUGACAACAAAAUACAAGGUCCAAUUCCAGCAAACAUUUGUUCAAUCUUUCCACAACUAUUUAGGUUAAACCUAUUAGGAAAUUUCCUUCAAGGUAAUAUUCCUCCUUGUUUGGGUAGUCUGAAUACUACACAUUUAUUAUUAGAUCUAUCACAUAAUCAACUAUCAGGAGGAAUACCAGAAAUGUUAGCUCAAAGUGACUCGUUGAGGUUUCUUAGGCUAUCAAAUAAUCAUCUAAGUGGGAAAAUAACCCCAACUAUCUGUCGAAACCAUUUUAAAAAAAAAAAAACAAAAAUUUGGUUGUCGACCUAAAAAUGAAAAUUGGGAGUCGCCACCGAUCUUUUAUUGAGGUGUGAUCGGUUCACCAUUAAAAAUGAUUUCGGUCUGCGAAUUUUGAGAAAACAAGUUCGGGAGUCGGUUACGCACGAGGAAGGGUUAGCACCCUCAUAACGCCCAAAAUUGGUACCAAAUUGAUUGUUUAAUGUCUUAGGGUCGAAAUUUUGAAAAGAUUUUAAAAUACGAUCCUUUGGAGUUUAAAUUUGAAUAAACCAAAUUGAAUGAUAAGACACAUUCAUUUUGAAGAAAUAAAUUGUCACACUCAGUGAGUUAAUGCAACAAUUCAAUCAUCAAAAUUAAGUAUGUCUUUUUAAUUUUCAAAAUUUGAAAUUCAUGCAUUUUGAGAAGGUUGUUCGAUCAUUUAAGUCAAACGAGAAAUCAGAAUCCAGUAAGUUAGGUUUUGAUUUCUCAAAGUUCUUAAACAUCAAACAUUGCCUUUAUUUUAAAAUUAGGAUAACAGAAUGUCACAUCCGGUAAGUUAGGAUCCGACAUUUUGAAAUCCUAAAUGCUUAGUUUUAAAACUGUAUGGUUUUAAUUAAAAAACAUAUAGCUAUCUAAAUUCAUCGAGAAAAAUUGGAACCCAAUAAGUUAGGGCACAAUUCUCUCGAGAAUUAUAAAUGCUAAAUUUUUUUUAUUGUGAAAUAGAAUGAUUGUUGUGCUUUAAUAAAAUACAAUUUUUACAAAUGAAAGAUGAUUGAAUAGCAAUACAUAAGGUGAAAGACACAAUUCGCAAUCUAAAUACGAAUUGAGGAAUAAUAAACAAAGGAUGAAUUCAAGCAAAAAUGGCUACAACAAUUUUUAUCAUAUUAGGCAAAUAUUAAUCCUAAUUGUCAAAUAUCAAAUGAAUUAAAUAUAACAACGUUUAUUAAUAACCACAUUUUUAAGCUAAAAUAUUUACACACAAACUUAAAAUGGACUUGAAACAAAAAUAAAACAACAUUGAAUAAUUGUAUUUAAAAAUGAAUUUGAAACAAGUCAUAUACCUUUAUCAAUUUAACAUAGAUAGUAUAUAUAUAUAAAAAAAAUGAGGUAGUUAUAUACAAAAGUGAAUUUUAGAAGAAGUAAAUUACAUAUAAAUAAAAUCCAUUUAAAGUACAUGUGCUAAACAUGUUAAAAACACUUGAAAUUAAUAAUAAUAUCUAAUAUCAAAACAUUAACUUAUUUUUUAAAAAAAAUUAAUAAUUUAUGGGUACAAGAAUAAUAGCCUUAUAUAUAAAAAAUAUAUUAUCACAUAAAUAUUUGAUAUAAAAAUAUUCAAAAGGUAAAUUUUAUUAAAAUAUAUAUAAAGAUUUUAUCCAAUCUUCAUAAAAUAUAUGUAUAUUAAUAAAUGAUGAAUUAAAUAAUAAUAUAUCAAAAAUUUUAAAAAGGUAUAAGGGAUAAAAGACUAAUGUAUGAUAAAUUUAAAUUACAUUAAUAACAAUUUAAAUAAUAAUAUAUUGUAUUUUAAAAAUUGUAUUAAUAAUAAGUUUAAAAAAUGUCAAACUUAAAGAUUAAAAUAAUGUUGGAAAUAACUAUAUCAAAAUAAUAAUGAAAUAUAUUUAACCAUAAAUAAAUAAAGAUUAAAUUAGAACUAGAAUUAAAAACGAACUAAAUUAUUAAUCUAGUUAAAUCUAAGGGACCAAAACGGAAAUUAAACGCAAAAGUCCGGGCAUUCAAGUCCAAACAAUGGAAACGACGUCGCUUAACAGAGGGCUUAAAUGCAAUCGAAGUUAAAUGCACAGUAUAAAUUUAAAAAAAAAGAAGAAAACUGAAUCGAAACGACACCGAAUACAGAGGGGCCUAUUGCGCAAAUAGACCGUUGAACAAAAACGCGCGGAUCCUUCCCUCAGGUCGGGUCGCAAGCCUCUAAACGGCACCGUUUUAAGCAAUAUAAAUCUAAAAAUAAACCCUAAACAAGGUUCAUUCAGGCGUAAAUAAAAAAGAAAGAAAAUAAACCCUAAACGGCGACCCUCUCUUCUCCGCCGCCUUGAAAGCCAGAACUCUCCUCUCUCUCGUUCCGAUUUGGACAGAGUAGAGGAUGGCUCCAAUGGCGCGCCAAGGUAAGUUUCUUCUUCGCUUUCCUCUUUUUUUUCAGUUUGGUGCCAAAGAAUCAAAGAAAAGAAAAAAGAAAGAAAAAACAGAGAAGAUCACCUUUUCGAAGAAAAACUUUCUGCUUUGAUUUUUUUUGUUUUUAUUCAAUAUCUCUCUCCGGGGUUUUUUUUUCUUCGAGUACAUCUUUGGGUUUUUAUAACCCGAAAAUAAAAAGAAAAAAUAAUACAAAAUUUUUCUUUUUUGUUCUCCUUUUCGCUAUUUUUGCUUUUUUUUCUCUCUCUUGUGGCUUGUUUGUCGUAUUUAUUGCAGGUACUAUAGUCGUACAGAGGCGCGGGCGCGCAUGUACAGAGGCUCGCGUGAGUGCAGAGGCUGGCGUGGAACGGCUACACGCGCGCAGGCGCAACACGUGCGAGGAGAAGGCCUGGUGGUUGCGGCGCUGGUUGGGGCUGAUGCUAGGGUUUCCCCUUAUGUUGUAAUCGGGUUUGGGCUUAGAAAAUUGGGUUUAGGGUCUGUUUAGGUUUAGCUGAUUCGGGUUUGGGUAGAGAUUCGGGCCAUUGGGCUGGUAUUGGAUCAUUGUAAUAUGGACAUUUUGGACAUUUAAUAUGUUUACUUUUGUUUUUAUUAUCGAUAUUGGGCCAUUACACUAUCUUUUGCUCAUCUUUAUUAGAAUUUUUAUAUUUAGAUGGCAAUAACUUUGAUGGAAAUAUACCUAGCAUUGAUAUCUUAACUAUCCCUUUGUACUCUCUUAAAUAUGUGGAUUUAAGUAACAACAAUUUGUCUGGAGAACUCCCAAGAUGGAUAUGGAAUGUGUCAAAUUUAAAUGCAUUGGCAGUAUCCAACAAUCAGCUCAAGGGUCUCAUUACGAUGGAAUUGUGCUAUUUGGAUUCUCUUAAUAUUUUGGACCUUUCAAAAAACAAUUUUUCUGGCCCAAUACCAUCUUGCUUCGAUGCACAAUCCAUUUGAGCAAAAAUAGAUUAAAUGGAACCUUAACAAAUGCAUUCUUUAAUAGCUCUUCCUUGGUGGCUUUAGAUCUUAGUGAAAACUAGUUGACUGGGGAAAUUCCAUACAGGAUUGGAACUCUUUCGGCUUUAAGUGUCUUCCUUCUAAAAGCCAAUUAUUUUAUCAAAAAAAUUCUCAUUGAGAUAUGUAAAUUGUAUUCGUUAAGCAUCAUUGAUCUUUCUCAAAACAAGCUUUCUGGUUCAAUACCUUCUUGUUGGAGUCAUUUAACUCUUAAGCCAAAUUAUGAAAAAUCUUCAACAAAGACCUAUAAGGUAUUUGAAGGAAUCACUAUGGAAUGACUGAAUUUGAGUGGUCCACUUUAAGAGGAGCUGAGUCAUUCUAUGUAUAUCUCUUUAUUGAGAAUCAAAUGGAAGAAAAGGUGGACUAUACAACAAAGAGAGCAUCUUACACAUACAAGGGAAACAUUCUUGAGUACAAGUCUGGAAUUGAUUUAUCAUGUAAUAGAUUAACAGGUGAAAUCCCCACAAAGAUUGGAAAUUUGAGUGAAAUUCGAUCACUAAACGUGUCACACAAUAAUUUGGCUGGACAAAUACCGUCAAUGUUCUCAAAGCUUAAGCAAAUUGAGAGUCUGGAAGAAUCCCUACUCAAUUGACAGAGUGGUACACCUACAACUUGUCAGGGAGUAUUUCGUCUCCGAAAGCUCAAUUUGGAACCUUCGAUGAAAGCAGUUAUGUGGAGAAUCCUUUUCUCUGCGGGCCACCCCUGCAUAAAAAUUGCAGCGACCUUGAUUCACCCCCGACAGCAGCACCAAAUACCUCAAACAACGAAGAAAAAAGUGGUUUGAUGGAGAAGUAUGUUUUUUGGGUGACCUUUUUUGUUUCUUAUGUAAUUGUAUUACUGGUUAUUGUUCUCAUCCUGUAUAUAAAUAUCCUUAUUGGCGACAAGCAUGGUUUUUUUUUUUUUUGUUGUUGAACACUGCAUCAAGACCUACCAUCUUCAAAAGAAGCGGGUAGCCUUGUGCUUUCGUGGUUUACAUUUGUAUGUAAUUGCUUUCAAAAGUUUGUUUGGGUUAUUUGCUUUAAAGUUUUUAAAGGUAGAAUGUAAUAUCUUUGUUAUGUAAUAAUUGAUAGUGUAUUAUGAGAAAACUAUAUAAAAUGUUAUGCAUUACCGAUUAAAACAUUUAAUAAUGCUUUACAAUUUUCAGCAUUCUGAUAAACAUUUUGUAGCAUAUAUAUAUAUAUAUAUAUAUAUAUAUAUAAUUUAUAUCUAUCUAUAUUUUUGUAGUCAAACAAGCUAUUGAUGUUGUGGUAAAAAUUUCAUAUUGUUUCAAACCUUAGUGUAAGGAAAGAGAGAAAAGAUUAUAUGAAACUGUGAUUUCACAUCUCUAUCCCUUUCAAAUAGGAGAAUAAUAAAUUAAAUUUUUCCUCCUGAUUUUUAGCACUUUAGUUGGAUUUGAAUUUUUCAAAAGAAAAAAAUUAGAAAUCAGGAGGAAAAAUCUGAUUUAUCUCGUGUUGAAAAGGGAUAAAGAUGACGUGAAAUCACAAUUUCAUACAAUUCCUUGUCAAAGAAAAAUCUUCUGCCACUAAAGCUCAAACUUCAUAUUAACUACUAAAUAUGAAUGACAAAAAUAGUCUUUAAAUUUUUAAAUGAUAUAAAUAUUUUUUAAAUUAAUAAAGUUAUCAUAAAUAAAUAUGUAGUUUCAUUGUUUUAUUUAAACUCAAAUUAAUAAAUAUUUAAAAAUUUAGUUCACACGAUAUUUAUCUAAUUUGAAAUUAAUAAAUUUGAGUAACAAUAAAAUUGAAAGCCUCCAAUCUCCCCAUAGUAUGUGUUGAUAUGUUUUAGAAGAGCUUAAUUUGGAUUCCAACUCCUUCACAAAAACUUAUUGGCACAGCUUAGUGGGUUUUCCAAUCUAAAGUCAUUGAGAAUAAGGAAUAACCAAUUUAAAAGAUCAAUAAAUAUUAAAGGUGAGAUUACUUAAUAUAUUUAAUCUUCCUUUAAACGAAACAAAUUAAUUGUUGAGUUAUUGCAUUUAUUCGGUGUGAUUUAAUUUUAAAUUUUAUUUGUCGAUCUUCACAGAAUUAUUAAAUACUUUGAGCAACUUAGAGGAGCUAAACAUGAGCCGGAAUGAGGUGAAGGAAUUUGUGCCAAUAAAGAAUAAAGGUAUAUGUAUCAACUAGGAAAGCCUUACUAAUUGUUUGCCAUUAGAUAUCUAGUGAAUGAUGCCAACCACUAAUUUGACUCUCAAAAAAUGGAAGUUUGGGAAAGCUAAAGGUUGCUAUGUUAGACUAUGUGUUCACCGGUGGAACUACUUCUCUAAUACAGCUUCUGUAGACAUUCUUAUCUGUUAAGACCUUAUAUUUGAGAGGCAAUUACUUCAACAACACAUUUUCUACUCAAGGUUUAAGAUGUAUGUGUGUGAAUAUAUAGUUUUACAACUUGGUUCCAUUUAAAAAUAUUAUUGUAACACCCCAAAAUUUGGGGUUAAAUUAGGAGAUUAUUAUUAUUAUAAUUAGUCUCAAAUGGUGUAGAAAAAUAGAAAGCUCAAGCCAAGUCCGGCGAAGUUCAAGACAAUACAUGAGAUAGAAGCUUGAAGAGGUUUUAUUUGACUUAGAAAUAAUAUCUAGAAAUUUUGUUAAAAUGCUUUGGUAUGAAUGAAAAAUCAAAACCUGUUAGUACUUUCUUUGCUUUUCAUUUCAAAUUUAAUGUUACCAUGUUGCCAAAAAAUAAUGUAGAACGAGAAUACAUAUUAAAGAUAUCAUAUGCAAAUGUUGUUGCUAACAUAAUGUAUGCUAUGGUACGUACAAGAUUUAACAUUUCACAAACAAUUAGAGUUGUGAGCAGAUAAAUGCAUGAUUCAGUAAAGGAUCAUCGGCAAGCUAUGAAAUGGAUUUUGCGAUAUAUCUUUAAUACAAUGGAUAUUUGAUUGAUUUUUUAGUAGGACGAUAAUCAGGGUAAAUGGAUAUUUGAUUGAUUUUUUAGUAGGACGAUAAUCAGGGUGAAUGGAUAUUGUGAUUCAAGCUAUGCUAGCGAUCUAGACAAACAAUGACCGACUACUGGUUAUGUGUUUACUCUUGCAAAGGAGCCAGUUAGUUGGAAGUCUACUUUACAGUCAACAGUUGUCUUAUCUACUACAGAAGCGGAGUAUAUGGCAAUCACAUAGGCUGUAAAAGAGACAAUUUGGUUUCAAGGGUUGCUUGGUUAAUUGGAAAUUAAGCAAAAGUACGUCAAAGUACAUUGUGAUAGUCAGAGUGCUAUUCAGUUAGCAAAGAAUCAAGUUUAUCAUGCAAGAACAAAGCAUAUUGACAUCUGAUAUCAUUUUGUACGAGAGAUUUUAGAAAAAGUAGAAUAAAGACCCAAAAAAUUUCUACCACUAAGAAUCCUAUUGAUAUGAUGACUAAGAUUGUGAUUGUGGUUAAGUUCCAACUAUGUUUAGACCUAAUCAUUGUUAAAACUUGAAGGUUGAAAUUUGAAGAUACUAUCAAAUAUUGUUUGACAAUGUGAAGAUUUAUAGAAGCAGUACAAUCCCACAUUUCAAAAAUACAAGGUUAUGGAGAGUUUAUAUUACUAUAAAUAGGGGUUGUUUUCCACCGUUUUUAUCAUUUUCUAACAAUUAAAUUUUCUGGUACAAAAAUUUACUUUCUUACUCUAUUCACACAUCACCUUCAUAAAAUUUUACCUUUUCAUAUGAAAAGUGACUACAAACAUUUACUAUCUAUAAGGAUGAUUUUUAAAGUUGAAUUUACAUGAGGGUUAAAUUAGGAGAUUAUUAUAACUGAAAUUAGUCUCAAAUGGUGUUGAAAAAUGGAAAGCUCAAGUUCAUUAUGCUAAAAGUAGAACAUUAAUAAGAGAAAUAAAAUAAAAUUAUUGUUAAAAACCGUCAAUUAAUUCUUACUCACUACCAUGCAUACUUUGGGUAUUAAAUACCCUUUUACCUCUCUAUUAAUUGUUUAAAACAUAUAUUAAAAAAGAAAUAUCAAAAUUAUAUACGAAAAUGAUUUGCAACAAAUAAUUUAUUUCUAUGAGGAAAAAAAAUGGCUAUUUAUAUUUAUUUUUUGUAAAAAAAAAAAGGAACUUGUGGAAGUGUUUAACCUAAGUAUCUUUACAAGAGUAUAAACCUUAUCUUUGCUUUAUAUAUACACUGCUUUGAAUCUGAUCCAGACUCAGCUUCUUGCCUCCUGCUUUUAAUUGGUUUAUGAGCGUUUAUUAGACAGAUUCAAGAUUAUGGGCUAGUAUACCAAAAUUUACUGUAAAUACACUAGGCCUUAGCUCUCUCUAUGGGGGGACAAAACUUUCAUACCGAGCUUGCGACCGCUGGAUCGACUAGUCGGAUUUAUUGGUUCGAUUAUCGGAUUAGCAAUUCUGAAGUUGGUUGUUUUCUAUUGUGCUCGGCCAACUACAACCGACAGACCAUCCCAGAACGCCCAGGAUUAGAUCGAGCCUUGAACACGCAUUAACCUGAAACAAAACCGAGCCAUUCCUUGUGUCAGUAUGUAGUUCAUUUCAUGUCAUCUAAAGCAUUAUUGGAUUAGCAAAGUGGGUCUGAACACAGUACCAAAAUUUCAAGGUUGGCUUCGACAUGAAAUAACAUGACUGCCAUUCCCCUUCCUCUAUCAAUCUCAGCCUGAAACGGAAGAAAGUAAAGAUGUUACAGAACUAUCAAACUAUUAACAUAAUCGGCGUUGAAUUUAAACCAACUCACCACACAGGCGCAUAUUGUGAUGCCUACAGCUGCCAAUGCUGUUGUGACCUCAGCCAUCAUUCCUAAAAUCAUAUGUGCAAUUAGCAAAAAUAAAAUGACUAAGAAAGUCUGAUGCAACCUAUAAUGGCUGAAAAAUGAAAGCAUAUUGACCUUAAAUGCCUGGUUGGAUCUCGAUAAACAAGGUUCCAAGACUAUAUGUUAUUCGAAUUCAAGUGUGAGACUGUGAGUGCAGGUAUGUUCAAGUCUUUGUAAAUUUUCAAUGUAUGUGGAGCAUCCUUGGAGGAUCAUAUCCCCAUAUACCCAUAUCCAAAUAUGUGCUUGACAUGAGUAUAGGAAAAUGAAGAGUCGGAGCAGUAUGGACUAAGACAAAUGUCUAUGGGAACAGCUUGGUAGGAUGAUCCACGUUUCCUUUGAAGUCCAAAGAAAAAGGAAACAAGUUAACUAAAGGGCUGUAAGUCAACAGUCUCAUUGGAUCCGUAGCUAUUUCAUAGCAAAAUGUGUCUACUUUAGUCAUUCAAAUUUCUAAGUCACUAGCAUCAAUAUGCCACCAAAUAAGUGUAAAAUAACCUGAACACGAUCGCCAAAAGAUUUACCUCGUCGAUCUAUACAAACGACAGAAAACCACUGGAUAGAAUGUCCUUCAAGAUUGUGCCACGAGGCGAUUUUACUGGCUUGCCAACUUUCCAAACCAGGCAAGACCUCCUUGUGAGGUGGAUUGUUUGCAGGUAUCAUUUUUGCAGCACCGUUGCCCAGUGAAAACAAGUAGCCAUUGGC
This 15597-nucleotide long non-coding RNA is filed under the name Gossypium raimondii (Peruvian cotton). RNAcentral's name for it is "long non-coding RNA (GRAI_LNC002522)". Lineage: Eukaryota; Viridiplantae; Streptophyta; Magnoliopsida; Malvales; Malvaceae. The record is from RNAcentral.